AUUGAACGCUGGCGGCAGGCCUAACACAUGCAAGUCGAGCGAACGGCGGACGGGUGAGUAAUGUAUGGGGACUGCCCGAUAGAGGGGGAUAACUACUGGAAACGGUGGCUAAUACCGCAUCCUAUCGGAUAACCCAUAUGGGAUUAGCUAGUAGGUGGGGUAAAGGCUCACCUAGGCGACGAUCUCUAGCUGGUCGGAGAGGAUGAUCAUCCACACUGUAACGGAGACACGGCCCAUACUCCUACGGAGGACGCAGUGGGGAAUAUGGCACAAUGGGCGCGAGCCUGAUGCAGCCAUGCCGCGUGUAUGAAGAAGGCCUUAGGUUUGUAAAGUACUUUCAGCGGGGAGGCGUUACCCGCAGAAGAAGCACCGGCUAACUCCGUGCCAGCAGCCGCGGUAAUUC
RNAcentral lists this ribosomal RNA (403 nucleotides) under uncultured bacterium. Its description in RNAcentral is "partial 16S ribosomal RNA". It matches the Rfam family "Bacterial small subunit ribosomal RNA", at positions 30 to 526 of the family's 1533-position model. The record is from RNAcentral.